Lutzomyia longipalpis is the source of this 6345-nucleotide RNA transcript. It is a transcript of the gene named low-density lipoprotein receptor, with no coding region annotated. The transcript has 14 exons. Lineage: Eukaryota; Metazoa; Arthropoda; Insecta; Diptera; Psychodidae. The record is from RefSeq and is a predicted model, not a curated record.
UUGGAGAGGCAGCCUCCAGUGCAAGUGGUACAGAUGUCAGUGAAGCUUUCAUCUCGGUCGAGUGAAGACGUACCCCAAAGGGAUAUCUCGAGUGCGAAAUCCACCCAAAAGUUUUCUCUGCGUGAAAACUUUGUAUGUGGCUUCUUCAUCAAUUUCGCCCUUUUCUGUGCCAUUCUUGUGAUUUUUUAAAUAGGCGCGCAAAAAGAGGAAAGCUCCCAUUAUUAUGUGUGUGCGUGAUUCGUAUAAAUGAACUUUCAAAGUGGCUAAAAAGCAAAUUUAUUUUCUCUUCUGCAAAAAAACACAGCGUUGUCUAACACUUUGUGUGCCAUCUUCCCUCAAAUGGCAAGAGAUAUGCCGUGAAUGGUUGCGUGGGAAAGUGGAUGGAGUGUCAUAGACAAACAGAGGCAAAGUGAAAAUUUGAUUAUUUAGUGACGCGUGAGUGGUGCAAAAGUUUUGAAAAAUUGCUGUGUGAUUUUAAUUAAUUUUUUUCAUGACACUUUGUUCAUCUUUUACUUUACGGUACUAACAAAAAGUUCACGUAAAAGUGAUAGGAAAAUUUGCAAAAGACCUAAAACAGAACACAUUGUCCAAAAGGAUUCUUCUUGGACACUUUUCUAUAUUUUCUUUCUCCAAAGAAAAUAAUUAUUGUAAUUGUUUUGUGGGAUUAUAGAAAACUCCAGAUAAACAUGGAAAAGUUCUGCUACAUCAUCACCUGGACCGUACUGUUUGUCUGUGUUAUUUAUGUUAAUUCAGCUAUACCGCAGCAGCAGUUGGAUGGUAAAAUCAAAGAAAACAAUUGCACAUCAGAUAAAUUCCGGUGCAAAAACGGACGGUGUAUACCAAAGCAUUGGAAGUGUGACCAAGAAAAAGACUGCAGCGAUGGAUCCGACGAAGAUCCAGAUGUGUGCCAGGUGCAUGUUUGCUCGGCGGAUGAAUUCACAUGCAAGAAUUCCACAACAGAUUGCAUACCAUUGUCAUGGAUGUGCGAUCUAAAUCAAGAUUGCUUCGAUGGAUCAGAUGAGGCGGGAUGCAAUGUGACCUGCCGUUCGGAUGAGUUCACAUGUGGUAAUGGAAGGUGCAUCCAGGAGAGGUGGCGGUGUGAUCGGGACGAUGACUGUGGCAACAAUGCUGAUGAGAGAAAUUGUCCCAAUGUGACGUGCCAGGCUGACAAAGAGUUCACCUGCUCUGACAACCUCUGCAUCACAGCCAAGUGGAGGUGUGAUGGUGAGAGUGACUGCCCCGAUGGUUCUGAUGAGAGGAACUGCGAGAAUGUCGUCCGCGUGGUGUCACCAUGCACGUCGGCUGAGUUUCAGUGCAGUGAUCGCAUUACGUGUAUCCACCGGAGCUGGGUUUGCGAUGGAGAAAGAGACUGUCCGGGUGGGGAUGAUGAGAAGGCCCCCACAUGCCUCAAUGUGACAUGCAGGGCGGAUCAGUUCCAAUGCAAAGACCGCUCAUGCAUUCCCGGUGCACUGGAAUGUUCCGGGAAGGCUGAAUGCGCCGAUGGGAGCGAUGAAGUCAAUUGCACAUCAACAACGCCCGUUGAUAAAAAAUGCGACCCAAGGAAGGAGUUUGACUGCGGCGGCGGUAUUUGUAUCCCGUUGUCGAAAGUAUGUGACAAGAAGCCCGAUUGCCCAGAGUUCCAGGAUGAGCCCGCUGAUAAAUGCGGUAGGAAUGAAUGUCUAAUCAAUAAUGGGGGCUGUACGCAACUGUGCGUCGAUACACCAGCUGGGUACUUUUGUGACUGUCGCAAAGGAUAUCGAUUAGUGGACAACAGGACUUGUGAGGAUAUCAAUGAGUGCGAGAAUCUUGGUGCGUGCUCACAAAAUUGCUACAACGAGAGGGGUGGCUUCAAAUGUGAAUGCGUUGAGGGAUACAUGAGGGAUCCAAGGGAUCACACACGGUGUAAGGCGACGGAAGGACAUGCCUCACUUCUAUUUGCACGCAGAAAGGACAUCCGGAAGAUUUCACUGGAUCACCGGGAGAUGACCUCCAUUGUGAACGACACCAAGUCUGCUACGGCACUCGAUUAUGUUUUCCGGACAGGCAUGAUUUUCUGGAGUGAUGUGGCCGAACAGAAGAUUUAUAAAGCACCAAUUGAUGAAGGGAGCGACAAGACGGUUGUAGUGCGUGACCAAGUUGUGACCUCAGACGGUCUAGCUGUGGAUUGGAUCUACAAUCACAUCUACUUCACCGAUACCCACAAAUGCACCAUUGAAUUGACCAAUUUUGACGGAAACAUGGGAAAAGUGUUGAUUAAGGAUGACAUGGAAAUUCCGCGCUCCAUUGCUUUGGAUCCACUCAAUGGGUGGAUGUACUGGACGGACUGGGGCUCAUCUCCGAGAAUUGAGCGCGCUGGAAUGGAUGGCACGCACCGAAUGCCCAUUGUGACGUACGACGUGAAGUGGCCAAAUGGAAUAACGUUGGAUUUGGUGCGAAAGCGCGUAUACUGGGUGGACGCAAAACUCAAUGAGAUCUCAUCGUGUAAUUUUGACGGCACAGACCGCAAUGUUGUCCUCUAUUCGGCCGACGUGCUGCGCCAUCCAUUCUCAAUAACGACCUUCGAAGACCAUGUAUACUGGACCGAUUGGGACAAGGAAGCCGUCUUCAAGGCAAAUAAAUUCAACGGCAGAGAUGUUGAACCCAUUACAGCGCUCCACAUGUUGCAACACCCAAUGACCAUCCACGUAUACCAUCCAUAUAGGCAGCCCGACGGUGUCAAUUACUGCCAAGCAGUUAAUGGGCACUGCUCACAUCUCUGCCUACCCGCACCAAAGAUUAAUGAACGCAGUGCUCGCAUCUCCUGCGCCUGUCCUACUGGGCUCAAACUUAUGGACGAUGGCCUCAUGUGCGUGGAAGAUGCAAACACACGUCCCAAUGGUAAUAGUUCACAACCAAAUGGACCUUCUGUGCAGCGUGAAGAGGCAAAUUCGGGAUUUAUUGAGAUUAUUAUCAUUGUUGUGUCCCUUCUUCUGUGCUUUAUCAUCAUGAUAAGUUUGUUCUGCUGCUACCGUCACUACCAGGCUAGGAAUUUAACAUCGAUGAACUUCGAUAAUCCAGUGUAUCGUAAAACUACAGAGGAUACGUUCCAGAUUGAGAAGCACGGGAUGCAUGGCCAUCGGAUUGGCGAUGAGGUGAGAGCCCUAUCACGAGAGUGUGCCGUCAGUGUAAGAUAAAUGAUUACAAUUUGCAACAGCAAGGCAUUUAGAUAGGCAGUGGGGUGGGGGUGGGAUGUAGUCAAGACGAUCGUUCCAUUAUUUGUGUUUGUUGGAGAAAGAUAAGGAUGUGGAGGUUGGAGGUUCGUCUGGUUUUACUAAACAUUAUACAUACCAAACAUACAUACAUAUAUGUAUGACUAGGAGGAGAUAUCACAGGAAGGACAUACUCAAAAAAUAUGGAUAGAUUUUUUCUUGCCAAAAACAUCCACCUCAAACCACUUUUUUGUUGCUGGUGAGGGUAAUCGCAUUUUUUAUACAACAUCCCAUGUCUUUUUCUGGGCUGACGAAUAUAAUGUAUGAAAAUGGAAUUUCAAUGAACAUUCUGCGGGAGAGUGAUACAAAAUUUUCCACCAAGUGACACACGAGAGGCUGCGGAGAGUAUAUACAUAUAUAUGUGUAUAUAUGUAUGUUGCAGAUGAAUGUAGGAGAAGAAGAAAAAAAAGCUCACACAGAACCACCUCCUUAUCGUUAUUUGAUGAUAUCCCAUUUUUCACAGUAGCAUCCAUAUUCUCCAUGUAAGAUGAGCUGAAUUUCGAAACAAUAUUCACGGAGCCAAACAAAAUGAAAAUUCACUCAACACAUAUAAGAACUUUAUAGUUUCCCCAGCAAGUUCCCCGCAUCAUCAUUUCUCUCACUCUUGUACCAUGCCAAAAAGCUCAUACAACAGAGUUUUUGCACAUAUACAUGACUUGCGAGCAACCACCAUGGUGCAUUUGGGAAAUAAAAUGAGAAAUGUUUUCAGCACAAAUUAACAUCUUAAUGCGCAAUUUUAUUAACAAACCCCAUAAAAGUUAUUUUAAUGAGAAAUAAUUAUAAGUAUAUCAGCAUGUAAGGGUGUACCUGCAGAAUAUUUACCGUCCCUCGCAAAAAUUCCAACCUCCCUAAAAAAAUGUUUUUUUUUGAUGGGUUAAAUUUAUAUUUAAUAAAAAAAAGUGGCACAAAAAAUGCAUUUUUUCAAAUAUUUUUCGUGAAAACGAGGGAAAGGAUAAAAAGGUUUAAAUGAAUAUUUACCCGAAUAAAAAGGUGGAAAAAAUUAUUCGUGCAAAAGAAAAUGACACGAGUAAAAAAACUCCCACAUGGCAAACAAUAUCAUUGCUUUUGUACAAAAUGUGUACAAAAAAAACCAUUAAAUUUAUUAUAAAUUUUUCUAUUGAAAUAAGCCUUUAUAAUAUUCGGCCAUAAAAUAUGAAUUCAUAGAAAAACAAUUUUAAUGUAGAAAUUUUAAUUAGUUAUAAAAAAACACUCGUUAAGUAGAUUUUUUAUAUUCACCAAUCUCUGUGUGCAUGCUAUUAUAUUAAAUCGCCUUCAAUUAAUUGAUUUUUAAUUGAUAGACAGAUACCUACUCAAAAAUUAUUGUCCGGGAUUUUUGAUCACAGUCCAUGCUUGCUUCCAACCCAUCAAAAUCGGAUCAAACACGUGAAUUUUUAAUUAAAUUAAUGGAAUUUGGGGCUUUAUGCGGGGGUAGGGCGGGGGAAAAUGGGUAUUAAAAUAUCUGUGGUUGAAGAAUAGGCUUAUUGUACAAUGUACACAUACAUGUGAAGUACAAAAAAAUGGAGCUUUACAUGCUUCAGUAAUUAGAGGCCUAUUUGCCAUACAAUUUUGCAAUCAAUUUCCCACAAUUCUGUUUUUUAUUUUAUUAAAAAGUGUCCAAUUAAUGAAAAAAAUGGAUAAAGGGAUGAUUUGUUGCAAAAUAUUCGUGAAUGUUCUAGGAUGGAUUUUAAUGUUAAAAUUAUUAUUAUUAUAAAAGCUCAUUGUGCCAAUUAUUGCUCAAAUAAGGUACCUAUACCUACCUAGGUAGUAUUCUAUGUAUGUUGAAAAAAAAGCUCUUGCAACCUCUCGAGGUGGUCACAAAGUUGGAAAACGUUCUGGGAUUCAUGUUUUUUUUUUAUUUGGGUAUGAAAAUUAUGUUGUACGUGUUCAGCAAACAGUUUUUUUGUGCCAAAAAAAUCUACCAAAACUACACAAAACUUGCUGUGUUAUAUUGACAGAGUGUGUAGGGUUGAGGGAGUUUCGGGGAAAAAAAAGCUCAAAACUUUCAACUUUUUACCUCUCAUUUUAAUGCUUGCAAACACAUGGGAGUGAAAUUUAUUGCGUAGAGGGAAUUUCCCGGAGAAUGUGUGCUCAAUAAAUAAAAAAAGAAGGGUAAGUUUGAGUGUUGUGUGUGUAUGUGUUGUAUAUGGAGAAAUGGAAAAUUUUCGGGUAAAACGGAGGAAAGUAAACAUUUUUAGAUUGCAAUUGUGGAAUGAAAAUAAAAUGAAUUUCCUCGCAUUUUUAUUUUUAUUUCAAUCAUUUUUCCACAUAUACCUAUAUUACGGAAUUUUAUUACUUUUGCUCUAUUUUGCAAAAUUAUACUUUUACAGUAUUGAAGGAAUUGAAUUGAAGUUCUUUUAUAGAUAGAUGAUUACUACCUAUGCAUAAAUGUCUUAUUCUUAAGAGCCCAAGAGGCUUUUUUUUUAUAAAUCGCUUUAGAACCUAAUUUUACUAUAAUUUCGUGAAAAUGCUUUGUCGUCAAAGGGUUAAAAAGUAGAUAUAUCACAAGUAAAGAAAGAAUUGAAAUUUUUAAUCAUGUUUACUAUAUAGGUAUAAUAAGGAUUAAUUAUUUCCCUUUAACCAUAAAACUUACUCACUUUACCACGUUAGUUUCCAUAUUAAAGUUCUCUCUUAUCGUGAAUGAGAUUUUUGUGCAGACGAAUCAUUAUAUUCAGUGGAGAAUUUUAAUGAUUAUGUGAGAAGUUCAUUUUAAAUAUUUCUUCUUUUGCUUCAGCAGUGGAAUUGAGUAUAUACAUAUAGUUAUGGUGUAGAAUAAAUGAAUAUUUUCAAAGUUAAAUCACUAAAACUUUAAUGAAAACUUUUCACCAAAAAAUCACUCUCACAGUUUUCGGGGAUGUCGUUACAAAAUGAUAAAAGAUAAGAGCUUUGAAGUCAAAAAAGCUCGCAUAUACAUAUGUUACUGUAUGAAUAAAAUGUAUGAUGAAAAAUGUUAGAUGCGGGUGUGCUUUUGUGCGAAUCCUCAAGAUCUGACUGCAGAGAUGAAUUUAAAUAAAAUGCCAACCGUUUUGUUUUUUUUCUUGCAGGCUCAAGAACCACUGAAUAAACCAGGAACAAAUGACUUUGUGUAAGGGGAGAAAGC